Molecule: transfer RNA, 72 nt
Filed under: Ailuropoda melanoleuca (giant panda)
Lineage: Eukaryota; Metazoa; Chordata; Mammalia; Carnivora; Ursidae
Rfam family: tRNA
About the family: Transfer RNA (tRNA) molecules are approximately 80 nucleotides in length. Their secondary structure includes four short double-helical elements and three loops (D, anti-codon, and T loops). Further hydrogen bonds mediate the characteristic L-shaped molecular structure. tRNAs have two regions of fundamental functional importance: the anti-codon, which is responsible for specific mRNA codon recognition, and the 3' end, to which the tRNAs corresponding amino acid is attached (by aminoacyl-tRNA synthetases). tRNAs cope with the degeneracy of the genetic code in two manners: having more than one tRNA (with a specific anti-codon) for a particular amino acid; and 'wobble' base-pairing, i.e. permitting non-standard base-pairing at the 3rd anti-codon position.
Source: Rfam by way of RNAcentral
ACCUAGCUGGCUCAGCGGUGGAGCGUGUGACUCUUGAUCUUGGGGUUGUGAGUUCGAGCCCCAUGAUGGGGG